GGUUCCAUAGUGUAGCGGUUAGCACGUCUGCUUUACGUGCAGAAGGUCCUGGGUUCGCCCCCCAGUGGAGCCA
Non-coding RNA from Pteropus alecto (black flying fox), 73 nucleotides. NCBI's taxonomy places the organism in Eukaryota, Metazoa, Chordata, Mammalia, Chiroptera, Pteropodidae. The record is from Rfam.